AAGAAGUAACAGAAUAACUUGCAUCAUGAGUCAACCCAAACAAUCUCAAAAAUCAUCAAAUAAAUCACAUUCAAUCCUAGCAUCUAGCAUGGUAAGCAUGUCAAAUUUCAUGGCAUUUGGAUGAGAGGAAAGCAGUCAAUGAAAUCAAGAAGUCAAACCAAAUUUAAGCAUGCAUAAUGAAGGUCAAUAAUCAUGGGUCAACUUCAAAAAAUCAUAACAAAAUGAAAACAGAUGAGAAAUAAAUGAGAUCAACACCAAAUGCAAAGCUUGAGAUGUC
RNAcentral lists this long non-coding RNA (277 nucleotides) under Lathyrus oleraceus (garden pea). RNAcentral describes it as "Pisum sativum (pea) long non-coding RNA (PSAT_LNC040079)". The record is from RNAcentral. Lineage: Eukaryota; Viridiplantae; Streptophyta; Magnoliopsida; Fabales; Fabaceae.